RNAcentral lists this ribosomal RNA (508 nucleotides) under uncultured bacterium. Its description in RNAcentral is "partial 16S ribosomal RNA". It matches the Rfam family "Bacterial small subunit ribosomal RNA", at positions 28 to 507 of the family's 1533-position model. The record is from RNAcentral.
GACGAACGCUGGCGGCGUGCCUAAUACAUGCAAGUCGAACGCUUCUUUCCUCCCGAGUGCUUGCACUCAAUUGGAAAGAGGAGUGGCGGACGGGUGAGUAACACGUGGGUAACCUACCCAUCAGAGGGGGAUAACACUUGGAAACAGGUGCUAAUACCGCAUAACAGUUUAUGCCGCAUGGCAUAAGAGUGAAAGGCGCUUUCGGGUGUCGCUGAUGGAUGGCCCCGCGGUGCAUUAGCUAGUUGGUGAGGUAACGGCUCACCAAGGCCACGAUGCAUAGCCGACCUGAGAGGGUGAUCGGCCACACUGGGACUGAGACACGGCCCAGACUCCUACGGGAGGCAGCAGUAGGGAAUCUUCGGCAAUGGACGAAAGUCUGACCGGGCAACGCCGCGUGAGUGAAGAAGGUUUUCGGAUCGUAAAACUCUGUUGUUAGAGAAGAACAAGGACGUUAGUAACUGAACGUCCCCUGACGGUAUCUAACCAGAAAGCCACGGCUAACUACGUG